GCCCAGGUGGUGGAAUUGGUAGACACGCUAUCUUGAGGGGGUAGUGUCCUUCGGAUGUGCCGGUUCGAGUCCGGCUCUGGGCACCA
RNAcentral lists this transfer RNA (86 nucleotides) under Marinobacterium sp. LSUCC0821. RNAcentral describes it as "tRNA-Leu". It matches the Rfam family "tRNA". From Rfam's summary of the family: Transfer RNA (tRNA) molecules are approximately 80 nucleotides in length. Lineage: Bacteria; Pseudomonadati; Pseudomonadota; Gammaproteobacteria; Oceanospirillales; Oceanospirillaceae. The record is from RNAcentral.